CAUUAAGAAGCUAUGCUACAGCACUAGCCUUUUAAGCUAGAGAAAGAGGCGCCACUUCCUCCUUAAUGA
RNAcentral lists this transfer RNA (69 nucleotides) under Crypturellus soui. RNAcentral's name for it is "tRNA-Lys". It matches the Rfam family "tRNA". Rfam says of the family: Transfer RNA (tRNA) molecules are approximately 80 nucleotides in length. The record is from RNAcentral. Lineage: Eukaryota; Metazoa; Chordata; Aves; Tinamiformes; Tinamidae.